Non-coding RNA from Rattus norvegicus (Norway rat), 2157 nucleotides. NCBI's taxonomy places the organism in Eukaryota, Metazoa, Chordata, Mammalia, Rodentia, Muridae. The record is from RefSeq and is a predicted model, not a curated record.
ACAAUGCUCCACAGGACCAUGGGUCUCCCCUACCAUUGAUGCCAGAUAAGGCCAUCCUUUCCUACAUAUGUAGCUGGAGCUGUAAAUUACUCCAUGUAUACGCUUUGAUUGGUGGUUUAGUCAAAGGGAGCUCUGGGUUGUCCAGUUAGUUUAAAAUGUUCAUUCUAUGGGGAUGGAAACCCCUUCAGCUCCUUCAAUCCUUCCCUUAGUCUCUUCCAUUGGGAUCCCCAGGCUCAGUCCGGUGAUUGGCUUUGAGUAUCUGCAUCUGUAUUGGUCAAGUGCUGGUAGAAACUCUCAGGGAACAGCCAGACCAGGAUCCUGAGCAACAAUUGUGUUUCCAAGGUGAAAAUCAUUGGGAUAUCUUUCCUUUCAUGUCAAGAUUUUGGAAACAACAGACUGAAGAAAUAAAUGGACUGGGGUAUGUUGGUUCUUUUUCUAGUUCUUUAAAGUGAGACUCUUAAAAAAAUUCAUGUGUACUAGGACUGCAUUGUGAAGACUACUUACUUGUAGGGUAGAUUUCUUCCUUCACUGUAGAGACUACAUAUUACUACUGAAGGAUGUAUCCUAUGAGGUGAAGUCUGCUUUUGGCUCUAUGGAAGCAACUCACUAUAUGUGGAGGCUACUUCCUGCUAGAUGUUUUACCCCAAUUCUCUAUACCCUGAGAAAAUAUGAUUCAUUAUGUAUUCAGAGAUCCCUUUGAUAGUUCCCACUUUUAAAUUUAUAUUUUUCUUUUGCUUUUAUCUUGCCAGUUACAUUCCUUAAAAGAUCCUAGGUUUUAUACCUUAAGUACAGAACCAGCUACUUAUACAAUUCUUAAGUUCAUUUAAUUAAAUAAUCAAAAUCUAUUUCAAGUAAAUUAUAAAGUGUAUAUAAAUUCUUUUUGUAUCAAUAAGUGAGAAAUAAAUGUUUAUUCUUUUCUAAAUCUCCAAAACAAUUUGCCUGAACUGUUGUUAGAAGAGAAUUUCUUCAGUGAUUUGUACAAUAGAGUUUAGGCACAGAAAUCUUUUAUUUCCAAGAAUAGAUAACACAGGAAAAAGAAAUUUCUCUUUUAUGCACCCCAAACUUGUAGAAUCCUGAAUGUAAUUACAGAUGGAAUAUAAAAGGAGAAAGCUGUCUAGUGAUAAGUUAGCUAUCAUUUAAAAAAAUAUUUACUUUUACAUGUAUAAAUAUUUGCUAAUAUAUGUGUAUGUAUUUGCACCACAUGUAUGAUGAGUGUCCAUGAAGUUUGGAAGAGGGUUCAUGUUCACCUUGGAUGGAAGAUUUUUUUGGGGUAAUCAACUGAGUCCUCUGCAAAAACAACAGUAGUUCUUGUCUCCUCAUCUUACUCUCUGGCCUCAAGAUAAUUAUAUUUGUGAAAAUAUAUUUUCUAGGGACAAAAAUUAGAAAGAAAAAAUUAAUUUCUUCAUGUGUUAGUCGAAAACAUAGGAAAAUGGAAUUAUGUUAAUUUUGCAAUAUAUAUUUUAAAAACAAUUUAAAUUUCUGCAUCAAAAGUCUAAAGAAAAACAGAUCAAAAGACAACUCUUUCACACUGUGAUGGGGAGUACUGCUACAGUUACAAUCAUUAUUAAAUUUUCUGUAAUUAAAUUAAAAAAGGCAAACCCCAAUAUAUAGUGAUGCUUUAUGGAAACUGCUAUUUUGGAUUGCAUUUCUAUGUGUACCUGAAUUCAAUUAAGCAAGGUUUCCAGCAGCCAUCUUCAUAAUAGUUCAUAUUAAGAUUAUUUCCCAACUAUAUAACCAAUGUGUAUAAAUUAUUUUCUGUACCCACAAUACAAUGACAUUCUCUACAACAUAAAAGUCAACCUAAAGUUACACACACACACACACACACACACACACACACACACACACACACAGAGGGAUGAACCAUUUCAAUACAUUAACUGGAAGAAUGUGAUGCACAUUGACCUCCAUUCUCCCCAACUCCCUAAUACUUGGACUUUCUUUUUCUAAAGAAAUGGUGAAUAUGACCACAGCACAAAGCUUUUCAUUGUAGAUAACAUGUAGGAAAUCAUCUGGAAGAGUCCAGGGAACAGAGAGAAAGUAAUAGACUAGACAUGACAAGUAAACUGAACAGGGCCAUUAGAGGAGAGAAAUGGGGGAGACCAGAAUAACAAGAAAAGACGACCAAGAAAAGUAAAAAAAAAAAAAAAAAAAAAG